Long non-coding RNA from Cyprinus carpio carpio, 2284 nucleotides. The record is from Ensembl. Lineage: Eukaryota; Metazoa; Chordata; Actinopteri; Cypriniformes; Cyprinidae.
ACAACCAAAAAUGUCUGAUCAAUGAAUAAACCAAUGAGUAUUAAAUGAUUAUUAUAAAAGAUUAUAUGAUAAAGAGUAAUAAUAAAAUGAUUAAAGGAUAAUAAAUGAUGAAUGAAUGUUAAAAAAUGCAACACACAGGUUGCUAUGAAGAAUCCUUAGAUCCUUCACCUUUAGGAGUAAAAAGACCAUUUUCAUUUGGCACAACUCAAACCAGCUACUGAAAAAUUUAUUCAUAAAAUGAGACACCUGCAUUACAUAUCUAGCCCUGUAAGCAAGCUGUGUUCUUGAGAUUAAGUUUGGUCCCAGAAAGUAUUUAGACACUUAAGUCACACUUAAAAAUCUGAAUUUCAUUGUAUUAGAUACUAAAAGGUGCAAUCAAUAGAAUGCUACGAUCUUUCUUAACACUAACUUAACUUUUUUAGAGACACUGAUUCAAUCAGUGGUCUCAAGUUCCCUUCUGACGCAGAACCACCAUCGAUGUAGUUGAUUAUAUUAACAUACACAAAGUUUGACAUCCAUAGAUUUUUCUUUUUUACUUUGAACACUACCUACUGAUUGUUUAAUUAUAUCUCGAAAACCGAACAAACCUCAUUUUGUGAAAUGUUUUGGUUGAAAAGUGUACUUGUGCUGUAAAAUAAGGCAGCAGCUAUUUGCACGAUAGAUGCUAUAUUUACGCUAAGUGCAAAGUCGGGUUGAAACAACCCAGCAUUUUUUAGAGUGUAACUUCUAUUUACACUAUGUAAAAAUAGCAGUAUUUUCUGCUAUUUAUACUACUUAUAUGUGCACCUCAGUAUUGUAGUACAUUACAAAACAGUAUGCAGUAAUAACAUAUUGACUGUAAAUUAUCAUUUUAAUUCAAAUUAUUAAAUGGAUCCUGACUUAUUGGGACAAUAAAGCAGCUCCCUACACCUACCCUAACCCUACCCGAUACUUCAUUUUCAACUUUUUGAUUAUUUUCCUUAAUUUUUAUUGAAAAUGCCUUUCCGAUGUAACAUAAGAUGUGAAAAAGUGUCAAGAAUGAGUUCGGCAAAAGGUGGAUUCGAACUCGGGUCGAUUGCAUCAAAAAGUCUGCACUAUGCAUUUUACCACUUACGCCACUGAUGCUGUUAUUUGACAGCCGUCUUUUGUAGUGUUGACUAUCCCAAGCAUACGUUAAUGGGCGGAGUUAGUGUUAAUAGCUUCUGCCAACAAGGCGAGAUAUUUGCACUUAGUGUAAAUAGACACUCUGAUAAAAUAAAAGGCACUUGUUUUGAUAUUAUUAGUUGUGUUUAAAGAGUGCAAAUAUUUUUGGGGCCACUGUAGAUCUCCUGGUGAAUUUAAAUUACUCAUCCUGUUUUUGUAACAUCACAGAGAGACACUGAAUUAGUAUAAAGCACAAAUCCAGCAUAGAUAGGUUCAGUGAAUGUGGUGUUGAAUGUGUAUAAGUGUCUGAGAGUGUUUGUGUCAGAGAUGCUGUAGAAGGACAGAAUGCCGGCCGGCUCGUCCACAUACACUCCUACUUUGUUUAAGGGAGGUGCUGGGGGAGGAAUGUGUGUUCCCCUAUUAUCAUGCCAGGCAAUCAGUUUCUCCCCGAAGCAGCUCAGAAUCCAGGAUUUUUUAUUGGCUCCAAACCUGCUUUCAAAACCUUCUCCUUUCCUGCCGAUUCCUUCAUAUGACACGACCAUAUCACCCAACCCGCUCCAUUCAGCCUCCCAGUAACAGCGUCCAGACAGACGCUCUUUACACAGAACCUGCGGAAGGCCGUCAAAUCUCUCUGGAUUAUCAGGAUAUAUCAUUGGAUCUGGAUUACGCACCAACUUUUUGUUGCCGUCUGCAACAGACAGGAGAUUGUGUGCCGUGUUUGGAUCCAGUGUGAGAUCACAGAAAUCUGCACAAAAGAAAAGAGAACACAAUUAAGACCUCAAAAUAUGUUCAAGAAUCAAAUUGGUCAAAUUGGACUUUUCGGUUCCACAUAAAUAUUCUUGACCACAUGUACACAGUUUUAUACUUGAGAUCUUAUUCUGGUCUUCUGUAAAAUGGUGUCCUGUGAAAAAACGUAUGUGUAGACCUACAUUUCAGGAGCUCUUCUCUACUCAUGUUCUCUCCACUGUGUUCCUGUUAAAUAAAAAGAAAAGCAUAAUGUGUCAUGUUCUAAUUGUUGGACUCACCAAAAAUGUUGAAGAACACCAGACUUUGAGCCAAGCCUUCAAAAAGCAAUUUUCAUAAGUUCUUAAGUGCAGGAGUCAAAAAGGUUUAAGUACUUAAGACAAACAACAGUAGGAGACUCCUCAUGCAAUGAUAUCAG